Molecule: transfer RNA, 73 nt
Filed under: Chloroflexota bacterium
Lineage: Bacteria; Bacillati; Chloroflexota
Description: tRNA-OTHER
Rfam family: tRNA
About the family: Transfer RNA (tRNA) molecules are approximately 80 nucleotides in length. Their secondary structure includes four short double-helical elements and three loops (D, anti-codon, and T loops).
Source: RNAcentral
GGCGCCGUGGACGAACGGUUAAGUCACCCGUUUGGCAAAACGGGAGAUUCGGGUCCGAUUCCCGACGGCGCCU